RNAcentral lists this transfer RNA (71 nucleotides) under Hymenobacter sp. RNAcentral's name for it is "tRNA-Ala". It matches the Rfam family "tRNA". From Rfam's summary of the family: Transfer RNA (tRNA) molecules are approximately 80 nucleotides in length. Their secondary structure includes four short double-helical elements and three loops (D, anti-codon, and T loops). Further hydrogen bonds mediate the characteristic L-shaped molecular structure. tRNAs have two regions of fundamental functional importance: the anti-codon, which is responsible for specific mRNA codon recognition, and the 3' end, to which the tRNAs corresponding amino acid is attached (by aminoacyl-tRNA synthetases). tRNAs cope with the degeneracy of the genetic code in two manners: having more than one tRNA (with a specific anti-codon) for a particular amino acid; and 'wobble' base-pairing, i.e. permitting non-standard base-pairing at the 3rd anti-codon position. Lineage: Bacteria; Pseudomonadati; Bacteroidota; Cytophagia; Cytophagales; Hymenobacteraceae. The record is from RNAcentral.
GGGGCUGUAGUUUAGUGGUAAAAUGGGUGCCUUGCAAGCGCUUGCUGUCGGUUCGAUUCCGUCCAGCUCCA